UGGGGAAUCUUGCGCAAUGGGGGAAACCCUGACGCAGCAACGCCGCGUGGGUGAUGAAGGCCUUCGGGUCGUAAAGCCCUGUCAGGUGGGAAGAAACUUGUGGAUGUUAAUACCAUCCAUGCUUGACGGUACCACCGGAGGAAGCACCGGCUAACUCCGUGCCAGCAGCCGCGGUAAUACGGAGGGUGCAAGCGUUGUUCGGAAUUAUUGGGCGUAAAGCGCGUGUAGGUGGUCGUGUAAGUCAGAUGUGAAAGCCUUCUGCUUAACAGAAGAAGGGCAUUUGAAACUGCUCGACUAGAGUACGGGAGAGGAGAGUGGAAUUCCCGGUGUAGAGGUGAAAUUCGUAGAUAUCGGGAGGAACACCAGUGGCGAAGGCGGCUCUCUGGUCCGAUACUGACACUGAGACGCGAAAGCGUGGGGAGCAAACAGGAUUAGAUACCCUGGUAGUCCACGCCGUAAACGAUGGGCACUAGGUGUAGGAGGUAUUGACCCCUUCUGUGCCGAAGCUAACGCAUUAAGUGCCCCGCCUGGGGAGUACGGCCGCAAGGCUA
Molecule: ribosomal RNA, 551 nt
Filed under: uncultured bacterium
Lineage: Bacteria
Description: bacterial SSU rRNA
Rfam family: Bacterial small subunit ribosomal RNA
Source: RNAcentral